GUUCCAUGACAGCUCAGUUGGUUAGAGUGUGGUGCCUGUAACGCCAAGGCUGCAGGUUCAAUCCCUGUAUGGGACG
Podarcis lilfordi (Lilford's wall lizard) is the source of this 76-nucleotide non-coding RNA. NCBI's taxonomy places the organism in Eukaryota, Metazoa, Chordata, Lepidosauria, Squamata, Lacertidae. The record is from the annotation of a GenBank genome assembly.